RNAcentral lists this ribosomal RNA (253 nucleotides) under uncultured bacterium. RNAcentral describes it as "partial 16S ribosomal RNA". It matches the Rfam family "Bacterial small subunit ribosomal RNA", at positions 524 to 776 of the family's 1533-position model. The record is from RNAcentral.
UACGGAGGGGCAAGCGUUGUUCGGAAUUACUGGGCGUAAAGGGCGCGCAGGCGGCUGCUCAAGUCAGGCGUGAAAGGCCUGGGCUCAACCCGGGAAUUGCGCUUGAGACUGGGCUGGCUUGAGUGCGGGAGAGGAUGGUGGAAUUCCCAGUGUAGAGGUGAAAUUCGUAGAUAUUGGGAAGAACACCGGUGGCGAAGGCGGCCAUCUGGACCGCAACUGACGCUGAGGCGCGAAAGCGUGGGGAGCAAACAGG